ACAGAGGAUGCAAACGUUGCUCGGAAUUACUGGGCGUAAAGCGCAUGUAGGCGGUCUGGUAAGUCGGACGUGAAAUCCCGGGGCUCAACCCCGGAAGUGCGCUCGAUACUGCCGGACUUGGGUUCUGAAGAGGAGAGCGGAAUUCCCGGUGUAGAGGUGAAAUUCGUAGAUAUCGGGAGGAACACCAGUGGCGAAGGCGGCUCUCUGGGCAGAUACCGACGCUGAGAUGCGAAAGCGUGGGAAGCAAACAGGAUUAGAUACCCUGGUAGUCCACGCUGUAAACGAUGACAACUGGGUGUUGCGGGUAUUGACUCCCGCUGCGCCGAAGCUAACGCGUUAAGUUGUCCGCCUGGGAAGUACGGCCGCAAGGCUA
This 373-nucleotide ribosomal RNA is filed under the name uncultured bacterium. RNAcentral describes it as "bacterial SSU rRNA". It matches the Rfam family "Bacterial small subunit ribosomal RNA", at positions 525 to 896 of the family's 1533-position model. The record is from RNAcentral.